ACUUGUAUCCCUAUCAUCUUGGCUGUGAUCUUGUUAGAUCUCACAAGCUAAGCAGGGUCUGGCUAGGUUACAAGGAUGAGAAACAUCCAAGGAAUGCCUGUGGGCUGCAGGAA
Molecule: ribosomal RNA, 113 nt
Filed under: Chrysemys picta bellii (western painted turtle)
Lineage: Eukaryota; Metazoa; Chordata; Testudines; Emydidae
Source: RNAcentral